This 159-nucleotide unclassified non-coding RNA is filed under the name uncultured Ascomycota. RNAcentral describes it as "sequence contains ITS1". Lineage: Eukaryota; Fungi; Ascomycota. The record is from RNAcentral.
CAGAGUUGCAAAACUCCCUAAACCCACUGUGAAUCUUACCUUUUUUCGUUGCUUCGGCAGGCGGUCCCAGGGCGGGACCUUUUGCCUUUGCCGGCGCCUGCCGGAGGAGCACACAAACUCUGUUUUUUGUUAAUUCUGAGCUCUUAUAAAUAAGAAUCA